Molecule: long non-coding RNA, 1656 nt
Organism: Gadus macrocephalus (Pacific cod)
Lineage: Eukaryota; Metazoa; Chordata; Actinopteri; Gadiformes; Gadidae
Exons: 2
Source: RefSeq, a predicted model, not a curated record
AAGCUAAACUAUUCCUGGUAUUGGAAGCUCUGUUCCAAGGAUGGGGUACAUUGUCAUCCUGCUGUGCCACAGCAGCAACACAACCACAAACGGAGAACUGACACCGGGCCUGUGUCAAGCAACGGUGACUCGACAUGGCUAGAUGUUCUGCCAUAUAAGUCCCUCCUCUGUUGGUAGAAGUAUAGUACGCUUAUCCGGCCAUGAUAGGGGGUUUAACCAUUUUACAAGCCGAUUGCCAAAAGUGAUAACGACACAAAUACACAUCCACCAAGUUAUGUUUAUCUUUGAGACAUUGCAAUGUUAGCCUGGAAACCAGACGAAUCACGCAACCUCAUGUUUAAUUUGCUCUGCAAAUAAGGUCUGGGUCCACUCCCAUGCAAAUAUAAUUCUGCCCGUUACGGCUGACGACCAUUCUUCUGAUAUGAGGCGGGAUAAAUACAAUGACGGCGCCGAGGAGCGCCGUAGAGGCCUUUUCAACGACAACAAAGGUGGCUGCUGAUGUAGAACGUUGCAAUAUCAUCCCACGCAGACACAAAUGGGCGUUCUCGUGUGGUGAGAGUUCCCGUUUACGCAGACUGGAACACCCCCUUCUUAUUAUUCGUCGCCUUUCUCGCUGAACUGUAUUAAAAUGUCAAAGUGUACUACUCCGAAACCAUGUAAAUAGUGUUGUAAAUAAACUUCCAAAGCUUUUCAAAUCUUAUUUGGAAAAUAACUUCACAUGGUGUGUCUUUUCAUAAUUUAUUCGUUACCAGCAUUCGUAGUGUUGAUCAGCAGUGAAAUAGUCUGCUAUAAGACGUUGACGUCGCUUAGCAACCGAAGACGCUGGGGUUGACAAGUUACCGGACUACUACCCAUGCAAGUGAACGGAGCGUUCCAUGGCAUUGAGAAGACCAGUGUAAUAAAGGCCUAUAAAAUGUAUGUUUAUGGCAUAGAUUUCUCCUCAGAUUAGGCCAAUAAAGCAAUAAUAACAAAAACAAAAAAGACACAAACGCUCGAUCAAAGGCCCGACCCGACCCGGGUCGGGUCAAUCAAAACCCUCAUUGUUUAACAUGAAUUCGCUAAACAAAUAACCACUGUAGCAUAUUUAAACACAAUUAAAAUUGUGCAGAGAAUUAUUUCCAUUGGUCAUUCUCAGUGGCGGCUGGCGAUCAAACAUGUUGGUGGGGCACAGUAACAGACAGGGGGUCUGAGGUUCAUUUAAUAGAUUUGAUUUCCUAUUCAUAGCCUACAUACUGACUUGCAGGGCCUGGACAAGCUUACACUGCAUAUACAGACAUACUUCAUGGCCAUUCCACCAGCCAUUGCUAUUUGACCCAUUGUUGUUAUUCUGAUAUUGAGACAAAUCAUGAUCACUGUCCUAUAGCGUCCAUUUUUUGUGAGUCUCAAUGUCUACUUCAAAUGCAGUUAGAAAUAUGGGACAGUUGCUUCAUUUUGUUUAUGCUACAGGCCGAAAGACUAAAUUAAUAUGUAACUUACUUGCUCCUUUUAAGUAUAACAUUGCUUGGGGAGUCCAAUUCCUCCACUGAAAAGGGUGGAAAGUGCUUACAACUCUCUGCUAGUUAGCGAUCUAUGACACUGUUGUUUUUUAUUGGUCGUCAUGAAAAAUACAAAAGGGGUAACACUGUCGAUAUUUAUCAAAUAAAACAUAGGGGGUAA